Molecule: ribosomal RNA, 448 nt
Filed under: uncultured bacterium
Lineage: Bacteria
Description: bacterial SSU rRNA
Rfam family: Bacterial small subunit ribosomal RNA
Source: RNAcentral
UGGGGAAUCUUGCGCAAUGGGCGAAAGCCUGACGCAGCCAUGCCGCGUGAAUGAUGAAGGUCUUAGGAUUGUAAAGUUCUUUCGCUCGUGACGAUGAUGACGGUAACGAGAGAAGAAGCCCCGGCUAACUUCGUGCCAGCAGCCGCGGUAAUACGAAGGGGGCUAGCGUUGUUCGGAAUUACUGGGCGUAAAGCGCGCGUAGGCGGCUUUGCAAGCCAGAGGUGAAAUGCCUGAGCUCAACUUAGGAAUUGCCUUUGGGACUGCGAGGCUUCGAGGACUGGAGAGGUGAGUGGAAUUCCCAGUGUAGAGGUGAAAUUCGUAGAUAUUGGGAAGAACACCAGUGGCGAAGGCGGCUCACUGGCCAGUUUCUGACGCUAAAGUGCGAAAGCGUGGGGAUCAAACAGGAUUAGAUACCCCCGUAGUCCCUGAGCGGGCUGGCAAGGCGCAU